Molecule: ribosomal RNA, 208 nt
Filed under: Escherichia coli
Lineage: Bacteria; Pseudomonadati; Pseudomonadota; Gammaproteobacteria; Enterobacterales; Enterobacteriaceae
Also listed under: 1 other name
Description: partial 23S ribosomal RNA
Rfam family: Bacterial large subunit ribosomal RNA
Source: RNAcentral
GGUUAAGCGACUAAGCGUACACGGUGGAUGCCCUGGCAGUCAGAGGCGAUGAAGGACGUGCUAAUCUGCGAUAAGCGUCGGUAAGGUGAUAUGAACCGUUAUAACCGGCGAUUUCCGAAUGGGGAAACCCAGUGUGUUUCGACACACUAUCAUUAACUGAAUCCAUAGGUUAAUGAGGCGAACCGGGGGAACUGAAACAUCUAAGUAC